GGGUCAUUGGAAACUGGGGAACUUGAGUGCAGAAGAGGAGAGUGGAAUUCCACGUGUAGCGGUGAAAUGCGUAGAGAUGUGGAGGAACACCAGUGGCGAAGGCGACUCUCUGGUCUGUAACUGACGCUGAGGAGCGAAAGCGUGGGGAGCGAACAGGAUUAGAUACCCUGGUAGUCCACGCCGUAAACGAUGAGUGCUAAGUGUUAGGGGGUUUCCGCCCCUUAGUGCUGCAGCUAACGCAUUAAGCACUCCGCCUGGGGAGUACGGUCGCAAGACUGAAACUCAAAGGAAUUGACGGGGGCCCGCACAAGCGGUGGA
Molecule: ribosomal RNA, 318 nt
Filed under: Bacillus velezensis
Lineage: Bacteria; Bacillati; Bacillota; Bacilli; Caryophanales; Bacillaceae
Description: bacterial SSU rRNA
Rfam family: Bacterial small subunit ribosomal RNA
Source: RNAcentral